UGCCUGGCGGGCACUAGCGCGGUGGUCCCACCUGACCCCAUGCCGAACUCAGAAGUGAAACGCCGUAGCGCCGAUGGUAGUGUGGGGUCUCCCCAUGCGAGAGUAGGGAACUGCCAGGCAU
Molecule: ribosomal RNA, 121 nt
Filed under: Salmonella enterica subsp. enterica serovar Typhimurium str. L-3553
Lineage: Bacteria; Pseudomonadati; Pseudomonadota; Gammaproteobacteria; Enterobacterales; Enterobacteriaceae
Source: RNAcentral